AAAUUGAAGAGUUUGAUCAUGGCUCAGAUUGAACGCUGGCGGCAGGCCUAACACAUGCAAGUCGAACGGUAACAGGAAGCAGCUUGCUGCUUCGCUGACGAGUGGCGGACGGGUGAGUAAUGUCUGGGAAACUGCCUGAUGGAGGGGGAUAACUACUGGAAACGGUGGCUAAUACCGCAUAACGUCGCAAGACCAAAGAGGGGGACCUUCGGGCCUCUUGCCAUCAGAUGUGCCCAGAUGGGAUUAGCUAGUUGGUGAGGUAACGGCUCACCAAGGCGACGAUCCCUAGCUGGUCUGAGAGGAUGACCAGCCACACUGGAACUGAGACACGGUCCAGACUCCUACGGGAGGCAGCAGUGGGGAAUAUUGCACAAUGGGCGCAAGCCUGAUGCAGCCAUGCCGCGUGUAUGAAGAAGGCCUUCGGGUUGUAAAGUACUUUCAGCGGGGAGGAAGGUGUUGUGGUUAAUAACCGCAGCAAUUGACGUUACCCGCAGAAGAAGCACCGGCUAACUCCGUGCCAGCAGCCGCGGUAAUACGGAGGGUGCAAGCGUUAAUCGGAAUUACUGGGCGUAAAGCGCACGCAGGCGGUCUGUCAAGUCGGAUGUGAAAUCCCCGGGCUCAACCUGGGAACUGCAUUCGAAACUGGCAGGCUUGAGUCUUGUAGAGGGGGGUAGAAUUCCAGGUGUAGCGGUGAAAUGCGUAGAGAUCUGGAGGAAUACCGGUGGCGAAGGCGGCCCCCUGGACAAAGACUGACGCUCAGGUGCGAAAGCGUGGGGAGCAAACAGGAUUAGAUACCCUGGUAGUCCACGCCGUAAACGAUGUCUACUUGGAGGUUGUGCCCUUGAGGCGUGGCUUCCGGAGCUAACGCGUUAAGUAGACCGCCUGGGGAGUACGGCCGCAAGGUUAAAACUCAAAUGAAUUGACGGGGGCCCGCACAAGCGGUGGAGCAUGUGGUUUAAUUCGAUGCAACGCGAAGAACCUUACCUGGUCUUGACAUCCACAGAACUUUCCAGAGAUGGAUUGGUGCCUUCGGGAACUGUGAGACAGGUGCUGCAUGGCUGUCGUCAGCUCGUGUUGUGAAAUGUUGGGUUAAGUCCCGCAACGAGCGCAACCCUUAUCCUUUGUUGCCAGCGGUUAGGCCGGGAACUCAAAGGAAACUGCCAGUGAUAAACUGGAGGAAGGUGGGGAUGACGUCAAGUCAUCAUGGCCCUUACGACCAGGGCUACACACGUGCUACAAUGGCGCAUACAAAGAGAAGCGACCUCGCGAGAGCAAGCGGACCUCAUAAAGUGCGUCGUAGUCCGGAUUGGAGUCUGCAACUCGACUCCAUGAAGUCGGAAUCGCUAGUAAUCGUGGAUCAGAAUGCCACGGUGAAUACGUUCCCGGGCCUUGUACACACCGCCCGUCACACCAUGGGAGUGGGUUGCAAAAGAAGUAGGUAGCUUAACCUUCGGGAGGGCGCUUACCACUUUGUGAUUCAUGACUGGGGUGAAGUCGUAACAAGGUAACCGUAGGGGAACCUGCGGUUGGAUCACCUCCUUA
This 1542-nucleotide ribosomal RNA is filed under the name Salmonella enterica. RNAcentral's name for it is "bacterial SSU rRNA". It matches the Rfam family "Bacterial small subunit ribosomal RNA". The record is from RNAcentral. Lineage: Bacteria; Pseudomonadati; Pseudomonadota; Gammaproteobacteria; Enterobacterales; Enterobacteriaceae. RNAcentral also lists the same sequence under 2 other names.